RNA transcript from Mercenaria mercenaria, 3699 nucleotides. RefSeq lists it as uncharacterized. NCBI's taxonomy places the organism in Eukaryota, Metazoa, Mollusca, Bivalvia, Venerida, Veneridae. The transcript is spliced from 9 exons. The record is from RefSeq and is a predicted model, not a curated record.
AUUGAAACGUACACGGGGUCUGCUAGCCCGCACACACUUCAAUAUCCAAACGUGGGUUCUUCUCAAACACACGUGGGGGAAAAUAGAGAGAUCUUUUGGAGUAAAUUAUACGGACACCUGAAAUAAAGUUAUAACACAAUAAUUUAUUUAUAUAUCAUUUCACAAACAAUAUAAUCGGAUUUGGUUAAUCUGUAUAAUGGCCCUGGUUCCUCGUCUACCUCUGGUCAGGAAUGUUCGUCUGUUCGUCUAUGCCAAUUAGAAGUUCCACAUCUAGAUGUAGUUCCAGAAAUUCUAAGAGUAAAGAAAGGCUUGACAAAAACUGUGUCACGUCUUGCCUUGUUAACAUAGGAGGCUUGACAAAAACGGUGUCACGUCUUGCCUAUAUGGUUUUAUCAGGAAAUCUGGUUGAUACUGGCACUCGGAAUGAAUGAAAGGCUAUAUAGUUGAAAGGAAUCUAUGUUAACUUUAAAUAUGGUUCUCUAGAAAGACAGAUUAUAUUGUAUAUUAAAUUAGGAAAUAUCUGUACUAGACCGGUAAAAUGGUCCUAGGUUUGUUAGAUAGGUAGUGGAUCUUUAUUAUAGAUAUAAAGAUAUAAGGUUCUAUCUAGUCUUGGAUUUGGUAAUUUUAUAUAGGACUUUAUUAUAUUUUCGUAGGUUUAUGGAAUACUGACAAACUGUCAAACCCUGCCAGAGAUUCUAGGCAAUCUUGUACUAUGGUUACUGUACCUUCUUGGUAGCAGGUGACACAUCCAUAGGAUGUUUUGGCAUUUAGGAGUUAGGAUAAUAGUGUAGUGGCUAGCACAAAUUCUAACCGGGUACUGACGACAGUGCCAGGGUCUGCCAGCUAUUUAUAGUCUCAGAGGGGUGGCUACAUUGGUAUGGGGUGCCAAGCUUGGCAGAGUCGUCAUCUAGUGGAUGACGUCAGCGCGCGUGCGGCAGAAUUUUAGCCCUAGCCGGAUAUGGCAUCUACGUUUGGCGACAGGUGGCUAAUUAGUAUUUCUUCGUCUCUAAUAUGGCUCGUUUAAUAUCUAAAGGCAUUAUAAGUUCAGAAAUAUGUUCAGGAGGGAUUGAUCUCUUGAUCCACAUCGGGUAUCGGUAUGAGGACGGUCUCAUAACAUAAUCGAGGUACGAAUAUUAUAGUGUACUAAUUUCGGAUAAACUGUAUCCGGACGUAAAAUGAUGAUGGCAUAGUCGUUACAUUGCACCCCUUCCACAUGGAUUCAGCCCCUGAAUAGGAGUUUUAGUAAGUAUAUCUACAGUAAGUAUAGCUGGUUAUCAUUUUAUGUGGAGUGUAAUGGGUUUAAUUCGUAUUUACACUUCUAUAUAUCUGGUUGUUGCUAAUUGAAGAACAAACACCUGUCAUAGGAGGUAAUUAAUUUGGUAUCAAGACAUAAGUACACCUGGACUGGAUUUCCAUUAAACCUGUGCAAUUUAUGGUGUUGAGGAAACCAUUCUGUAACUGGUACGGCUAAAAUGAAUUAUUAUUUGACAUAUUUUCACAUGUGAUUACUGGAUAUGUCAAAGUUGGGCAAUAUAUUUAUCAAAGGCAUUAAGUAUUAUAAUCAACAAUACUUGUAAAAUUGUCAUACUCAGAAAUGGCAUUUUUAAUAAUGGAUCAUGUAUACAUUAUUCAUUCAUACGGUACUUCUGGGUAACUUGAAGUUUUCAUUUAUAAACAGCUAACAUUCAUACAACUUUUCAGAUGUACAAUUUUCCUCAAUUAUUUCAGCGCUGAGAUUUCAUUCAUACAAGAAAUUUAAUACAUGUGUAUUUACAGGGAAUAGAGAGCUUGACAGUAUUUGUCGAUUGGCCACCUGGAGAACGGUAUAAACCAACGGCUCAUCUAAACAGAAGUAUACUCCAUUUCGUCCUCAACCUAAACACUCGCAGCGGUGUACUGCACAAUCAUGGGUUCAUCUAGGGUGAGGUUCUCCAGGUUAUGUGAAAGGGACCUCCAGGUUAGUCAUAGUUCGGGUAAAAGGACCACUCUGAUGUGCAAGCAGAGGAACGGUGGUGUCCACCUGAGGCACACUAUUUCAGUGCAACAGGGAGCGGCAUCUACCAGCUUUGGCAGAAUGAAAAACUCCGCUUCUUGUUUAAUUUCAUUCAGGACCUGCAAGUCAUUUGGUAGGCAUCCUGCAGGCAUUUGUCUGUCAUACCGUAAAUAGUUCAGGAUGAACUUAAAAUGGGAUGGAUCACGGUCAAUGAUAAUCUUGGAGUCUCCGUCAGUAGUUAGUCCGCAAGGAGGUAGUGGUACUGUGGCAGUUUCAGUCGGUAGUGCAGGCAUAGAGAGUGUUGGCUUCUUCUGAUUUAUGGUCGGCUUAUACGGAUGGUAAUGUGUUUUGGCAGGAUGUUUGUUAUGACUGGCACCAAGUACAGUUUCUCUUAUUGGAGAUAGAGGUUUCUUAGAGGUGUGAGAGGACAUACAUGGAAUGGUUGUUCCUGGAUGUUACUGAUAGAGUACUAUUUUGAUGGCAGUCACAGGGAUAUAUGGUAAUAGGUUUACCCAUUACAAGAUCUAUGGGGAGGUUGAUUUGUCUGCCAAACAUCAUGGCACAAGGAGAUACACCAGUACUCUCAUGGACGCUUGACCUGUACGCUAACAUAAGUAAAGGUUGUAAUGGCGGUCUAGAGUCUGGUGGGAGAAUUUCAUACUUGGAUCUCUUCAGUAUGCUAACAUUAGAACCAGUAUCAAGUAAUGCGGACCAUAACGUUGUGUUAGUAGGUCUACUAACAGUUUGUAGUCAUAGUGGUCUCUGGAAUCAAGUUCUGUCAACAUGGAACGGGCAUCUCCUUUUAGACAACUAGCAAGGCAUAAUCCUUUGGAUCUUAAAUUCCAGUUAUUCAAGUCACUACAAAUUUGGAAAUAUAUUAGAAAUUCAUUCAAGUCGUCUGUACCGUCAAAAGUUGGCCGGUCCAGAAUGCAGUCAGCAAAAGGCAUUCAAAUAAGGCUGUAAUGGUAGAUCCAAUCAACAAUUUUACCUGUUUGAUUGAAUGGUCAGCACCUGGAAAAACUAUGGAAUAUCAGUAACUGAAGAUGUUGUUAAAACAGCAUAAUGAAAUGAAUUGUAAAAUAGUCAAUAAAAUAUUCUGUGUCACUGUCUCCCUGUGGUAUUCCUGGAAGAAUAAAGCAGACUGGUUGAUUAAUUUUCAAAGAUAAUCCCACUUCUGACACCAGUUGAAACGUACACGGGGUCUGCUAGCCCGCACACACUUCAAUAUCCAAACGUGGGUUCUUCUCAAACACACGUGGGGGAAAAUAGAGAGAUCUUUUGGAGUAAAUUAUACGGACACCUGAAAUAAAGUUAUAACACAAUAAUUUAUUUAUAUAUCAUUUCACAAACAAUAUAAUCGGAUUGGUUAAUCUGUAUAAUGGCCCUGGUUCCUCGUCUACCUCUGGUCAGGAAUGUUCGUCUGUUCGUCUAUGCCAAUUAGAAGUUCCACAUCUAGAUGUAGUUCCAGAAAUUCUAAGAGUAAAGAAAGGCUUGACAAAAACUGUGUCACGUCUUGCCUUGUUAACAUAGGAGGCUUGACAAAAACGGUGUCACGUCUUGCCUAUAUGGUUUUAUCAGGAAAUCUGGUUGAUACUGGCACUCGGAAUGAAUGAAAGGCUAUAUAGUUGAAAGGAAUCUAUGUUAACUUUAAAUAUGGUUCUCUAGAAAGACAGAUUAUAUUGUAUAUUAAAUUAGGAAAUAUCUGU